UACAGAGGUCUCAAGCGUUGUUCGGAUUCAUUGGGCGUAAAGGGUGCGUAGGUGGCGCGGUAAGUCGGGUGUGAAAUUUCGGAGCUUAACUCCGAAACUGCAUUCGAUACUGCCGUGCUUGAGGACUGGAGAGGAGAGUGGAAUUUACGGUGUAGCAGUGAAAUGCGUAGAUAUCGUAAGGAAGACCAGUGGCGAAGGCGGGUCUCUGGACAGUUCCUGACGCUGAGGCACGAAGGCCAGGGGAGCAAACGGG
This 253-nucleotide ribosomal RNA is filed under the name uncultured bacterium. RNAcentral describes it as "partial 16S ribosomal RNA". It matches the Rfam family "Bacterial small subunit ribosomal RNA", at positions 524 to 776 of the family's 1533-position model. The record is from RNAcentral.